UACGGAGGGUGCAAGCGUUAUCCGGAUUCACUGGGUUUAAAGGGUGCGUAGGUGGGCUGGUAAGUCAGUGGUGAAAUCUCCGAGCUUAACUUGGAAACUGCCAUUGAUACUAUUAGUCUUGAAUAUUGUGGAGGUCAGCGGAAUAUGUCAUGUAGCGGUGAAAUGCUUAGAGAUGACAUAGAACACCAAUUGCGAAGGCAGCUGGCUACACAUAUAUUGACACUGAGGCUCGAAAGCGUGGGGAUCAAACAGG
Molecule: ribosomal RNA, 253 nt
Filed under: uncultured bacterium
Lineage: Bacteria
Description: partial 16S ribosomal RNA
Rfam family: Bacterial small subunit ribosomal RNA
Source: RNAcentral